Molecule: ribosomal RNA, 466 nt
Filed under: uncultured bacterium
Lineage: Bacteria
Description: partial 16S ribosomal RNA
Rfam family: Bacterial small subunit ribosomal RNA
Source: RNAcentral
GAUGAACGCUGGCGGCGUGCUUAACACAUGCAAGUCGAACGGAAAGGCCCCUGCUUGCAGGGGUACUCGAGUGGCGAACGGGUGAGUAACACGUGGGUGACCUGCCCUGCACUUCGGGAUAAGCCUGGGAAACUGGGUCUAAUACCGGAUAGGACGAUGGUUUGGAUGCCAUUGUGGAAAGUUUUUUCGGUGUGGGAUGAGCUCGCGGCCUAUCAGCUUGUUGGUGGGGUAACGGCCUACCAAGGCGUCGACGGGUAGCCGGCCUGAGAGGGUGUACGGCCACAUUGGGACUGAGAUACGGCCCAGACUCCUACGGGAGGCAGCAGUGGGGAAUAUUGCACAAUGGGCGCAAGCCUGAUGCAGCGACGCCGCGUGGGGGAUGACGGCCUUCGGGUUGUAAACUCCUUUCGCUAGGGACGAAGCGCAAGUGACGGUACCUGGAGAAGAAGCACCGGCUAACUACGUG